GUAAACCCAGGCAAUACCCCCCACUGCCCGCCAGAGCACUACAAGCAAUAAGCUUAAAACUCAAAAGACUUGACGGCACUUCACCGCCCUAGAGGAGCCUGUCCUAUAAUCGAUAAUCCACGCUAAACCCCACCUGCCCUAGCCCCAGCCUAUAUACCGCCGUCUUAAGCCCGCCUUACAAAAGACCCACAGCGAGCCAACUAGAACGCUAACACGCCAGGUCAAGGUGUAGCCAACGGGCAGGAAGAGAUGGGCUACAUUUUCUAUACCUAGAAAAUAACCAACAGUGCCGUGAAACUUGCACUAAAAGGAGGAUUUAGUAGUAAGCCGAUCAAGACCGUUCGACUGAA
Molecule: ribosomal RNA, 350 nt
Filed under: Hemidactylus sinaitus (Red Sea gecko)
Lineage: Eukaryota; Metazoa; Chordata; Lepidosauria; Squamata; Gekkonidae
Description: partial 12S ribosomal RNA
Rfam family: Bacterial small subunit ribosomal RNA
Source: RNAcentral